AUUGAACGCUGGCGGCAGGCUUAACACAUGCAAGUCGAGCGGGGUGAUGGUGCUUGCACUAUCACUUAGCGGCGGACGGGUGAGUAAUGCUUAGGAAUCUGCCUAUUAGUGGGGGACAACAUCUCGAAAGGGAUGCUAAUACCGCAUACGUCCUACGGGAGAAAGCAGGGGAUCACUUGUGACCUUGCGCUAAUAGAUGAGCCUAAGUCGGAUUAGCUAGUUGGUGGGGUAAAGGCCUACCAAGGCGACGAUCUGUAGCGGGUCUGAGAGGAGGAUUCGCCACACUGGGAGUGAGACACGGCCCAGACUCCUACGGGAGGCAGCAGUGGGGAAUAUUGGACAAUGGGGGGAACCCUGAUCCAGCCAUGCCGCGUGUGUGAAGAAGGCCUUAUGGUUGUAAAGCACUUUAAGCGAGGAGGGGGCUCUUUUGGUUAAUACCCAAGAUGAGUGGACGUUACUCGCAGAAUAAGCACCGGCUAACUCUGUGCCAGCAGCCGCGGUAA
Molecule: ribosomal RNA, 503 nt
Filed under: uncultured bacterium
Lineage: Bacteria
Description: partial 16S ribosomal RNA
Rfam family: Bacterial small subunit ribosomal RNA
Source: RNAcentral